AAUAGAGGAACGAAGGCUAAAAGCAUCUCGUCCUGUGAUAACGCCUCGACCAACAUCCUGUUGU
This 64-nucleotide small RNA is filed under the name Lysinibacillus xylanilyticus. Its description in RNAcentral is "Bacillaceae-1 RNA". It matches the Rfam family "Bacillaceae-1 RNA". The record is from RNAcentral. Lineage: Bacteria; Bacillati; Bacillota; Bacilli; Caryophanales; Bacillaceae.